CACAGAAACUGCAUCAGCAGGAGAAGAAGCUCCCGACCCAGCGCCUCGUUACCAUGGAGACCAGCUGUGUACCGAAAUUCAGGCUCACCUGGUGACAAGCAGAAGAAAAGAAGUCGUCAUCCAGAAUAAAUAAAGUUCUUGCUUUCAUUGGGCAGUAAACAUGAUCCUGGUAAAGAUGUUCAGAUUUCUGACAGGAAAGGAUUUCUUUGAGUGUACCGGUCUCGUGUUCUCCGGGGUUGUCAGAGAUCUCCAUGGCGUACAUCUUCAGGCCCUGAGAGCUUUUGCCGAUGUUGUAGAU
Molecule: long non-coding RNA, 298 nt
Organism: Scatophagus argus
Lineage: Eukaryota; Metazoa; Chordata; Actinopteri; Scatophagidae
Exons: 3
Source: RefSeq, a predicted model, not a curated record